Canis lupus familiaris (dog) is the source of this 615-nucleotide long non-coding RNA. RefSeq lists it as uncharacterized. The transcript is spliced from 4 exons. The record is from RefSeq and is a predicted model, not a curated record. Lineage: Eukaryota; Metazoa; Chordata; Mammalia; Carnivora; Canidae.
CAGGCAGGAAUUUAAGUCACUCUUGACCCAGAGAGACAAAGGAGAAACUUCUUCACUGAAAAUUAGGGAUGCAGAGAAGCAAAUAAAUUCACUGACAUCUGGAGAUACCAAGCUCAGGCCUGGUGAAUAAUGGAAAACCUAGAGAGUCCUGGCUUGGAAAAAGCAAUCGAUAAGAAAACUAAAGACUUGAAUACGUUGCUACGCUAUCACAUGGGAAGAAACCUACCAUAAUCACCCAAAGAAAAACAUGUCACAAUCCCUGUUCUGCUGUAAGAGAAAAGCGUGCCUCGUCCGUACAGGCCAGCUUCACUUUCCACCUGGCGAGACGUAGGGGAGAAGCUGGCCUAAAGGAGCUUUCACGGACCCCUGACGUCUCUGGCCGGCUCCCCAGGUCCCUACAGGGACGUCUUCCUCUUGCUGCUCUCAGAAAGCACCAGGAACAGAUGCAUUACAGUUUGUGACAGGAGAACAGCCUGUGGAUUCCGCCUACUGCCUCGGUCCAUCUGGGAGAAAGACCAUGUGACAGCAUAAUGGGAAGGUGGCUGUCUGUAAGCCAAGAAGAGAGCUCUUACCAGGAUCCAAAUCAGGACCCUGGACUCUACAGCCUCCAGAACC